RNAcentral lists this ribosomal RNA (414 nucleotides) under uncultured bacterium. Its description in RNAcentral is "bacterial SSU rRNA". It matches the Rfam family "Bacterial small subunit ribosomal RNA", at positions 355 to 786 of the family's 1533-position model. The record is from RNAcentral.
UGGGGAAUCUUGGACAAUGGGCGCAAGCCUGAUCCAGCCAUGCCGCGUGAGUGAAGAAGGCCUUCGGGUUGUAAAGCUCUUUUACCAGGGACGAUAAUGACGGUACCUGGAGAAUAAGCCCCGGCAAACUUCGUGCCAGCAGCCGCGGUAAUACGAAGGGGGCUAGCGUUGUUCGGAAUUACUGGGCGUAAAGCGCACGUAGGCGGAUUGUUAAGUCAGAGGUGAAAUCCCGGAGCUCAACUUCGGAACUGCCUUUGAUACUGGCAAUCUAGAGUCCGGAAGAGGUUAGUGGAAUUCCCAGUGUAGAGGUGAAAUUCGUAGAUAUUGGGAAGAACACCAGUGGCGAAGGCGGCUAACUGGUCCGGUACUGACGCUGAGGUGCGAAAGCGUGGGGAGCAAACAGGAUUAGAUACC